This 417-nucleotide long non-coding RNA is filed under the name Homo sapiens (human). Its description in RNAcentral is "HSALNT0360244". The record is from RNAcentral. Lineage: Eukaryota; Metazoa; Chordata; Mammalia; Primates; Hominidae.
AUACUGGUUAAGUCUUCUGGCUACAUCUUUCUCCCGUGCUGAAUGCUUUCUGCUGUCAAACAUCAGAGUUCUUCAUCUUUGGGACUCGGGCUGGCUUCCUUGCUCCUCAGCUUGCAGAUGGCCUAUUGUGGGACCUCACCUUGUGAUCAUGUGUUCAUGAAAGCCAGUUGCUACAUGAAGAAGCCUGGGCUAACCUGCUGGAAGAAGAUGAAAGACCACAACAAUCAUGAUCCACUCCAGUCAUCCCAGCUGAACUCCUAUACAUGUAAAAGACUCCCCUGAUGGCUAGCCAAUCCUCCUACAGAAGCAGAUAGGCAACUGAUCGCAGACACAUGAGUAAAUCCAGCCCCCGAUAAGAACAGCUCAACCAACCUGCACAUUCAUGAACAAAGUAAAUGCUUUCUGUUUAAGUCACCA